This 425-nucleotide long non-coding RNA is filed under the name Helianthus annuus (common sunflower). RNAcentral describes it as "hypothetical non coding rna". The record is from RNAcentral. Lineage: Eukaryota; Viridiplantae; Streptophyta; Magnoliopsida; Asterales; Asteraceae.
UUUGAAUAUAAUUUAGUGUAUUAAUCAUUGUAUAUUUCAAAUUUUGAAGUGUUUAUGUGUAAUAUUUCAUCUAGCGUACGCAUUAUUUUAGCAUACAGAUUGUUUAAUCGAAUAAUAUGUAGUGUAUUGAUCAGUUUCAGAGAGGGAUAGAUAAUCGCAUAAUAUGUAGUGUAUUGAUCAGUUUCAGAGAGAGAUAGAACAGAUUUGAUCGCCAGAGAAAGAUAGAACAUAUUUGAUCACCGGUGAAGGACCUUCGGCCAACGACUGUUUUAGAGAUAGGCACCUUAAAAGAAAUUCAAAGAGUAUAUGACGGCUCAUGCAUAACAUUUUGAUCGUUAUCCUGAGACUAUAUGAGCCAACAAUUCGAUAUCGAUGAGAAUAUGCGAGUUGUGCUGAUUGACUUGCUCAUUGAGGUUUUCCAGUGA